RNAcentral lists this ribosomal RNA (496 nucleotides) under uncultured bacterium. RNAcentral's name for it is "partial 16S ribosomal RNA". It matches the Rfam family "Bacterial small subunit ribosomal RNA", at positions 29 to 507 of the family's 1533-position model. The record is from RNAcentral.
AUGAACGCUGGCGGCGUGCCUAAUACAUGCAAGUCGAGCGCACAGACGAGGAGCUUGCUCCUCUGACGUUAGCGGCGGACGGGUGAGUAACACGUGGAUAACCUACCUAUAAGACUGGGAUAACUUCGGGAAACCGGAGCUAAUACCGGAUAAUAUAUUGAACCGCAUGGUUCAAUAGUGAAAGACGGUUUUGCUGUCACUUAUAGAUGGAUCCGCGCCGCAUUAGCUAGUUGGUAAGGUAACGGCUUACCAAGGCGACGAUGCGUAGCCGACCUGAGAGGGUGAUCGGCCACACUGGAACUGAGACACGGUCCAGACUCCUACGGGAGGCAGCAGUAGGGAAUCUUCCGCAAUGGGCGAAAGCCUGGCGGAGCAACGCCGCGUGAGUGAUGAAGGUCUUCGGAUCGUAAAACUCUGUUAUUAGGGAAGAACAAAUGUGUAAGUAACUAUGCACGUCUUGACGGUACCUAAUCAGAAAGCCACGGCUAACUACGUG